GACGAACGCUGGCGGCGUGCUUAACACAUGCAAGUCGAACGGAGUGGCGAACGCGUGGGUAACACGUGAGCAACCUACCUUACACAGGGGGAUAGCCGUAGAAAACGACGAUUACUACCGCAUGGUGUAAGAAGGGCUCGGGUCUGCUUAGAUAGCUGGAAGGGGAAAGGCCUACCAAGGCGACGAUCAGUAGCCGGUCUGUGAGGAUUAGCGGGCAAGUUGUAAGUGAGAGACGAACCAAGAGUCUACGGGAUGCAGCAGUAGGGAGUAUUGCAGAAGGGGGGGAAGCCUGAUGCAGCAGCGCCGCGUGAGCAAGGAAGGUUCUCGGAUCGUAGAGCUCUAUCCUAUGAGAAGCGGUAUCAUAUGAUGAAGCCCGGGCUAAAUACGUGCCAGCAGCCGCGGUAAUAC
RNAcentral lists this ribosomal RNA (408 nucleotides) under uncultured bacterium. RNAcentral's name for it is "partial 16S ribosomal RNA". It matches the Rfam family "Bacterial small subunit ribosomal RNA", at positions 28 to 526 of the family's 1533-position model. The record is from RNAcentral.